This 253-nucleotide ribosomal RNA is filed under the name uncultured bacterium. RNAcentral's name for it is "partial 16S ribosomal RNA". It matches the Rfam family "Bacterial small subunit ribosomal RNA", at positions 524 to 776 of the family's 1533-position model. The record is from RNAcentral.
UACGUAGGGAGCAAGCGUUGUCCGGAAUCAUUGGGCGUAAAGCGCGCGUAGGCGGCCCUGUAAGUCCGUUGUGAAAGUCAAAGGCUCAACCUUUGAAAGCCGAUGGAUACUGCAGGGCUAGAGUCCGGAAGAGGCGAGUGGAAUUCCUGGUGUAGCGGUGGAAUGCGCAGAUAUCAGGAGGAACACCAAUAGCGAAGGCAGCUCGCUGGGACGGUACUGACGCUAAGGCGCGAAAGCGUGGGGAACGAACAGG